GCGUCGGUGGCAGAGCGGUCAAUUGCAUCAGACUGUAAAUCUGACGCCUUCGGGCUACGCAGGUUCGAAUCCUGCCCGACGCACCA
Molecule: transfer RNA, 86 nt
Filed under: Parcubacteria group bacterium CG1_02_44_65
Lineage: Bacteria
Description: tRNA-Tyr
Rfam family: tRNA
About the family: Transfer RNA (tRNA) molecules are approximately 80 nucleotides in length.
Source: RNAcentral